This 508-nucleotide ribosomal RNA is filed under the name uncultured bacterium. RNAcentral's name for it is "partial 16S ribosomal RNA". It matches the Rfam family "Bacterial small subunit ribosomal RNA", at positions 29 to 523 of the family's 1533-position model. The record is from RNAcentral.
AUUGAACGCUGGCGGCAGGCCUAACACAUGCAAGUCGAGCGGCAGCGGGAAAGUAGCUUGCUACUUUUGCCGGCGAGCGGCGGACGGGUGAGUAAUGCCUGGGGAUCUGCCCAGUCGAGGGGGAUAACUACUGGAAACGGUAGCUAAUACCGCAUACGCCCUACGGGGGAAAGCAGGGGACCUUCGGGCCUUGCGCGAUGGGAUGAACCCGGGUGGGAUUAGCUAGUUGGUGAGGUAAUGGCUCACCAAGGCGACGAUCCCUAGCUGGUCUGAGAGGAUGAUCAGCCACACUGGAACUGAGACACGGUCCAGACUCCUACGGGAGGCAGCAGUGGGGAAUAUUGCACAAUGGGGGAAACCCUGAUGCAGCCAUGCCGCGUGUGUGAAGAAGGCCUUCGGGUUGUAAAGCACUUUCAGCGAGGAGGAAAGGUUGGUAGCUAAUAACUGCCAGCUGUGACGUUACUCGCAGAAGAAGCACCGGCUAACUACGUGCCAGCCGCCGCAGUAA